RNAcentral lists this long non-coding RNA (2243 nucleotides) under Gallus gallus (chicken). The record is from RNAcentral. Lineage: Eukaryota; Metazoa; Chordata; Aves; Galliformes; Phasianidae.
UUUUAAUGUUUACAGUAGUCACUUCAUAGGGACACCAACUUCAUCUUCAAUUCUGACACUGGAGUUGCUUUAUUGGGAAAGCUGCGAGAAGACAAACAGCUACUCCAAAAAUAUAACUACAAAGAGGAAAAAUAAAGUCGAGAUCGUACUGUGCUCUAUAGUAAGAUUACAUAGUUUUACUUGCAUAGCACAAGCGUACAGAAGUAUGAGUUAACAGGCAGCGAUACAAUCCAUCUCAAUUCAUGUUAUUGCUUCUUUUUUCCUCCAAGUAACUGGUUGCUGGUCACUGCUGGAGCCAAGAGAGGCUUACUGGCACUUGCUUUCCAGCAGUUUAAUUUGGUUUAGCCAAGGAAUACUGUACACUACAAAGGUGCAUGUGGUAUACUUAGCCAUCUCUGGCUCAUCGUGGAAUUCGCAGCUCUGGAGAUCACCUGAUGACUUGGGGCAAGUUGUCCGACCAAUCUCAACCUGCAGGAUGUACUUGAUUCCAGACACGAGCUGCCGCUUGGCGCUGAUGACCCGCACCACCCGGCUGGAGUACUUAUCGUUGCUGGCCCUGUUGUACUCGGCCAUGGCGAACUGCAGGGCCCGCUGCAAGCCCUCGUCGUUCUCAUCUACAGGCACUGGAGCCCCCAGGAGCCGGGAGCGGUCCUCGCUGCCCAGGACAGCGCCGACGAGCAUUAGGGCCGCGGCCAGCAGCACUACGCAACCCCGAGCUCCUGCCAUGGCUCCACACACCGCACUACACGCCGCUGCCGCCAUUUUAAGGCCUGCGGAGCGGAGUGGGCGGCGGCCUCGGCCCACACUCCCCUCCCCGCCCCGCCCCUCGCCGCGACGGGGAGGGCUGCUCUCCUCCCGGCCGGACAGAGCAGGACAGACGGAGGCUGGAACUCAGCAAGGCUGGGAAGUGGGACGGUUUAGAGAGGCAACAACUACACCCAAAGUGGCGGCUGUAAAGAGUACGCUAGGGAACGUCGUGCCUGGAAGUCCUAGCCCUCGCACGGUGGGCUUUCAGAGCAGUCCCGCAGCCAGGCUGCACUCAGGGUGAACUCUCGCAGACUUUCAGGGGGACCGGCCGUGCGUGGGGGCUUGGCGCGGCAGGAACGCGGCUGUCCCGUCCGGAAUUACACCACCCACAGCCCUCUUUUUGGGUCGGGAUGGAGGAGGCUGCUUUCCCACAUGGGUCCGGGAACCUGGAGGCUUUUCCAGGCUCUGCCUCCUCAUGACUUAUUCUAGCCCUUAUUUCCCCUUGCUGUGGAGAGGUGGCAACAAAACCACAGGGCAUUUUAGGUUACUAAUUUGGCUUUUAGCACAAAACACCGCGUGUCAUUUCCUAUAUCUGCCUCCACAGAUUGGUGUUUCCUCAUCUACAUUAAUUGCUCAAGGUCAGAGAGGCAUCAGUGGCAAGGCUGGCUUCCCAGACAGAUGGUUUAACUUCUAGUUUCAUCUCAUAACCACAAGGUUGUCUUUUUCUCCUGUCCAGAACCCUAAGUUAGGCAAGACAGCACCUAAUAUAGCACUACAGAGCUAGUGUGAGUGAGAUUUAAGGCUUUGUGCAGUUAUUAGACUAAGAGAGCGUGACAUUUUAUGCCUGAAUAUCCUCAACACCUCCCAUAAUGAGAAGGAAGGGGCUUGUGCGCUGACUGGAAAGGCUGUUUGUAGCCUGCUGAGUGCCAGCAAUAUCCAGCAUGAAAACUGUCACAGGAAACCCCCCUACACUUGGCAGCAAGCUGUGCAACUAAUGCUGCAGCUGCAGGACAUUACGGUAGCUUUUACUGGUAAGAGAAAGAAGUGAGCGCCACUGCAGCACCAGGUGCUGUCAGUGACACAGGAGGGAAUAUCCGUGCUGUUGGGACUGAGGGAGCUUUGGCCACUUCUUCAGAGCCAGUCCGAGCUGACGCUGGGCAGAAAAGGCAUUACAGUCACCCUUUGUGUAUCUGGGGGGAAAAGCAGUGAGAAAUAGCUCUGUUAAGAGCUAAAUGCUUUGCCUGCAGUACAGGCAAACAAGUCACCUCAUUGGAGUUAAGAUAAAACAAGCCAUAGUUGGCCUGUGUCCUUCUCCUGAGUUAUAGCAGCACACACUUUAAUGCAGAGCUGCUUACCCAGGACCACGUCCAGGUGGCUUUUGAAGAACUCAGAGGAGGAGCCUCCACAACUUCACUGGGUAGCCUGUGACAGUGCAGUGGCACCCAGACAGCACAGGAGGACUUCCUGAUGGUCAGUGGGAGCCUGCUGUGUUCAGC